CAAGUCGAACGCGAAAGUCCCGCAAGGGAUUAGUAGAGUGGCAAACGGGUGAGUAACACGUGGGUGACCUGCCCUCGAGCGGGGGAUAACGUCCCGAAAGGGACGCUAAUACCGCAUGACAUCCUGCCUUUGAACAGGCGGAGAUCAAAGCUGGGGAUCGCAAGACCUAGCACUCGAAGAGGGGCCCGCGCCUGAUUAGCUAGUUGGUGAGGUAAUGGCUCACCAAGGCUACGAUCAGUAUCCGGCCUGAGAGGGCGGACGGACACACUGGGACUGAGACACGGCCCAGACUCCUACGGGAGGCAGCAGUGGGGAAUUGUUCGCAAUGGGCGCAAGCCUGACGACGCAACGCCGCGUGGAGGAUGAAGACCUUCGGGUCGUAAACUCCUUUCGAUCGAGACGAAUGGCCUCCGGGUGAACAAUCCGGAGGAGUGACGGUACCGAGAGAAGAAGCCCCGGCUAACUCCGUGCCAGCAGCCGCGGUAAUACGGGGGGGGCAAGCGUUGUUCGGAAUUACUGGGCGUAAAGGGCUCGUAGGCGGCCAACUAAGUCAGACGUGAAAUCCCUCGGCUUAACCGGGGAACUGCAUCUGAUACUGGAUGGCUUGAGUUCGGGAGAGGGAUGCGGAAUUCCAGGUGUAGCGGUGAAAUGCGUAGAUAUCUGGAGGAACACCGGUGGCGAAGGCGGCAUCCUGGACCGACACUGACGCUGAGGAGCGAAAGCCAGGGGAGCAAACGGGAUUAGAUACCCCGGUAGUCCUGGCCCUAAACGAUGAAUGCUUGGUGUGGCGGGUAUCGAUCCCUGCC
This 806-nucleotide ribosomal RNA is filed under the name uncultured Pseudomonadota bacterium. Its description in RNAcentral is "bacterial SSU rRNA". It matches the Rfam family "Bacterial small subunit ribosomal RNA", at positions 58 to 842 of the family's 1533-position model. The record is from RNAcentral. Lineage: Bacteria; Pseudomonadati; Pseudomonadota.